Long non-coding RNA from Rattus norvegicus (Norway rat), 1592 nucleotides. RefSeq lists it as uncharacterized. The record is from RefSeq and is a predicted model, not a curated record. NCBI's taxonomy places the organism in Eukaryota, Metazoa, Chordata, Mammalia, Rodentia, Muridae.
AGUAACCUUUCAACAGAAGGAUGCGUGCGUGCGUGCGUGCAUGCGUGGGUGGGUGUAUUCCCUCGUGCGCAUGUGCAUGCCUGUGAAUGUAAGGUCAGAAAUUGACAUUGGGUGUCCUCCCCGAUUGCUUUUUGCCUCAUUUUUUGAGACAGGGUCUCCCACUCAUGUGGAACUCACUGUAUUGGAGCCUUGGGGGGGGCCAACAAGCCCCUAAGAUUCUCCUGUCUCCAUCCCUGUGUCACAGGGUUACCGAGGCAGAUGUGUGCCGCCAUGUUUGUUUUUUCACAGGAGUAAGAGAGUUUCAAACUUAGGCCCUUACGCCCACACGGCAAGCACUUUACUAACUGACCACCGACCUGGCUUCUAACAGGUGAAAUCUCAGGUCCAGUCAGGUUAAAAACCAAGAGCGAAUAAAAGAUCAUCGAGGCGGGUCUUAAAAGUUAGUUUGGCACAAGAACUAAGUUGAGGAAAUAAACUUUCUAUAAUUUCCUUUUAAUCAUGACUUACUCAAGAAACACGUUUUGUGGUGUGUCGAAUGUGUCAUUUGACACAUUUCAAAAUGUGUCAGAAGGAGUAAGCCAAAUCAUGACAAUGGAAGUUUACCUGGAAGAAAUGAAACCGAAAGCGCUCCUCACGUACCAAAUUCAGUGCAGGAGGAAGGAGGUGCUGAGCCUCUAAGUACUGCACAGCUUUAAAAUUACUCAAAUCACAUUCAUUUUGCCUCACAUUUUGCAUUAAAAAAUUGAAAAUGCAGAAACCAUCAGUCGGUGCAUUUCUGCAAACAGUGCCCUGCAGUUAAAUGGAAUCGCACCAACAUAAGCCUCAUUUGCAUCCCAAAUUUAUUUUAAAAAAAAAUCAAAAGAGUUUUUUAGAAAAAAAGAGUAUUAGGUUAACUCUACCCCCUACAGAAGCAGAUGCUAGCUGCUUCACAUCCAAACGCAUAUACAGGCCUUUUACACCAUGGUACCCACGGUGGUGAAGAUCAGUAUUCUUACCACCGCUAAGGCGUGGAUACAAAACCAUGCCAGAGAUGCUGGCUUAAAAAUGGUGGGAGUGUUCGACGCCAUUACCAGACAGUUCUGGGUACUGGCUAAUGUUAUGGAGACAGAAAUCGCAGAAAAUAAAACCGGCAAAGUAUUGUUAUUUCAACUGCAUGGCUGCACAGGUGUUACCACAACCAACCUUGUACUUAUGCUUUAAGUACGAUUGCCGUGGGAAGGAAAACGUCUUUCAUCUUCUUAGCCAAUAAAUACAUCUGUGAACUACAUAAAAAACCAGAAAGGAUUAUGUUGUCCGAGAAUGUGUCUGGCGUUCGGGAUUUUUGUAUUCUGAAGACACAGCUGCAGUUGCUGGAACACGGUCCGGGUUAGUUAGCCAGAGCAAGGACUGUGUGUAAAUCAGCAAGCCACUUCCUUCAUUAGGAGAGACAUUGAAAUCUGUGGAGCUGAAGUGCUACAGAAAGAGCACCUGAAUGGCCUUAUAACUCUAGAGAGCUAGUCGUUGGGGCUGGAUGUUGGUAAGGGGUUCAAAAAGAAUAUUGUUCCAUAUUCUGUAUAUAAAAAAAAUUAAAGUGACUGCCCAGCUUGCUGGAA